GAUGAACGCUGGCGGCGUGCCUAAUACAUGCAAGUCGAGCGAACAGACGAGAGUGCUUGCACUCUCUGACGUUAGCGGCGGACGGGUGAGUAACACGUGGGUAACCUACCUAUAAGACUGGGAUUACUUCGGGAAACCGGAGCUAAUACCGGAUAAUAUUUAGCUUCGCAUGAAGCAAUAGUGAAAGACGGUUCUGCUGUCACUUAUAGAUGGACCCGCGUUGUAUUAGCUAGUUGGUGAGGUAACGGCUCACCAAGGCAACGAUACAUAGCCGACCUGAGAGGGUGAUCGGCCACACUGGGACUGAGACACGGCCCAGACUCCUACGGGAGGCAGCAGUAGGGAAUCUUCCGCAAUGGACGAAAGUCUGACGGAGCAAUGCCGCGUGAGUGAAGAAGGUUUUCGGAUCGUAAAACUCUGUUGUAAGGGAAGAACAAGUACGUUAGUAACUGAACGUACCUUGACGGUACCUUAACAGAAAGCCACGGCUAACUACGUG
RNAcentral lists this ribosomal RNA (499 nucleotides) under uncultured bacterium. Its description in RNAcentral is "partial 16S ribosomal RNA". It matches the Rfam family "Bacterial small subunit ribosomal RNA", at positions 28 to 507 of the family's 1533-position model. The record is from RNAcentral.